Molecule: ribosomal RNA, 259 nt
Filed under: uncultured bacterium
Lineage: Bacteria
Description: partial 16S ribosomal RNA
Rfam family: Bacterial small subunit ribosomal RNA
Source: RNAcentral
GUCCACGCCGUAACGAUGAUUGCUAGUUGUCGGGAAGCUUGCUUCUCGGUGACGCAGCUAACGCAUUAAGCAAUCCGCCUGGGGAGUACGGUCGCAAGAUUAAACUCAAAGGAAUUGACGGGGCCCGCACAAGCGGUGGAGCAUGUGGUUUAAUUCGAAGCAACGCGCAGAACCUUACCACCUUUUGACAUGCCUGGACCGCCAGAGAGAUCUGGCUUUCCCUUCGGGGACUAGGACACAGGUGCUGCAUGACUGUCGU